RNAcentral lists this ribosomal RNA (244 nucleotides) under uncultured bacterium. RNAcentral describes it as "partial small subunit ribosomal RNA". It matches the Rfam family "Bacterial small subunit ribosomal RNA", at positions 26 to 285 of the family's 1533-position model. The record is from RNAcentral.
AGAAUCAACGCUGGCGGCGUGCCUAACACAUGCAAGUCGCACGAGAAAGGGACUUCGGUCCUGAGUAAAGUGGCGCACGGGUGAGUAACACGUGAAUUAUCUACCUCCGAGUGGGGAAUAACUGAGAGAAAUCUUAGCUAAUACCGCAUAACACUUACGAGUCAAAGCAGUAAUGCGCUUGGAGAGGAGUUCGCGGCCGAUUAGUUAGUUGGCGGGUAAUGGCCCACCAAGACGAUGAUCGGUA